Molecule: ribosomal RNA, 618 nt
Filed under: Linnemannia gamsii
Lineage: Eukaryota; Fungi; Mortierellomycota; Mortierellomycetes; Mortierellales; Mortierellaceae
Description: eukaryotic LSU rRNA
Rfam family: 5.8S ribosomal RNA (bases 184-337)
Source: RNAcentral
AAGGCUUUCCGUAGGUGAACCUGCGGAAGGAUCAUUCAUAAUAAGUGUUUUAUGGCACUUUUUAAAUCCAUAUCCACCUUGUGUGCAAUGUCAGUCGGUCUUCUUUAUGGAGAUCGGCCAAACAUCAACCUAAUUUUUAACUCUUUGUCUGAAAAAUAUUAUGAAUAAAAUAAUUCAAAAUACAACUUUCAACAACGGAUCUCUUGGCUCUCGCAUCGAUGAAGAACGCAGCGAAAUGCGAUACGUAAUGUGAAUUGCAGAAUUCAGUGAAUCAUCGAAUCUUUGAACGCAUAUUGCGCUCUUUGGUAUUCCGAAGAGCAUGCUUGUUUGAGUAUCAGUAAACACCUCAAAACUUUUUUUUAUUUUUGAAAAACAGUUUUGGACUUGAGCAAUCCCAACACCAAUCUUUUUUAGAUCGGUGGCGGGUUGCUUGAAAUGCAGGUGCAGCUGGACAUUCUCCUGAGCUAAAAGCAUAUUUAUUUAGUCCCGUCAAACGGAUUAUUACUUUUGCUGCAGCUAAUAUAAAGGGAGUUUGACCGUUUUGGCUGACUGAUGCAGGAUUUCACAAGGGUCGGCAACGAUUCUUGUAAAACUCGAUCUCAAAUCAAGUAAGACUAC